UCAUAGGUGACGGGAGUCUUCUCUCCUCUCCUUGUUUUUUUCAACAGAGUUUAGAUUUGGGCUCUACCUCUAGCCACACGGUGCUCUCCUUCCCCCUCAGGAAUGGAGGGCUUCAGAUUUGGAGUCAAGAUUGAAUGGAUUCUAAUCUAUUCAGCUGUUUUAGGAAGACAAACUUUUUUAGCAAAUAGAUUAAAUGCAAGUUCCAGAUGUGGCUCACCUGACCCAGCUUGAGAAUUCCAUUGACUGGCGUCUCUUUGUUCUCAAAUACAGAAAAAAGAUUUAUAUUGCCUGGAUUCUCACCUAUAUCCCUCCCCUACCCUGAGAGCCAUCUCCUGAAACAAAGAAAUUGAAGAAGAA
This is a non-coding RNA of Phascolarctos cinereus (koala), 357 nucleotides long. NCBI's taxonomy places the organism in Eukaryota, Metazoa, Chordata, Mammalia, Diprotodontia, Phascolarctidae. The record is from RefSeq and is a predicted model, not a curated record.